GUAGGUGGCAAGCGUUGUCCGGAAUUAUUGGGCGUAAAGCGCGCGCAGGCGGUUCUUUAAGUCUGAUGUGAAAGCCCACGGCUCAACCGUGGAGGGUCAUUGGAAACUGGAGAACUUGAGUACAGAAGAGGAAAGCGGAAUUCCACGUGUAGCGGUGAAAUGCGUAGAGAUGUGGAGGAACACCAGUGGCGAAGGCGGCUUUCUGGUCUGUAACUGACACUGAGGCGCGAAAGCGUGGGGAGCAAACAGGAUUAGAUACCCUGGUAGUCCACGCCGUAAACGAUGAGUGCUAAGUGUUAGGGGGUUUCCGCCCCCUUAGUGCUGCAGCUAACGCAUUAAGCACUCCGCCUGGGAGUACGGCCGCAAGGCUG
Molecule: ribosomal RNA, 371 nt
Filed under: uncultured organism
Description: partial 16S ribosomal RNA
Rfam family: Bacterial small subunit ribosomal RNA
Source: RNAcentral